This 508-nucleotide ribosomal RNA is filed under the name uncultured bacterium. RNAcentral's name for it is "bacterial SSU rRNA". It matches the Rfam family "Bacterial small subunit ribosomal RNA", at positions 8 to 526 of the family's 1533-position model. The record is from RNAcentral.
AGAGUUUGAUCAUGGCUCAGGAUGAACGCUGGCGGCGUGCCUAAUACAUGCAAGUCGAACGAGGUGCUUUUGUAGCAAUACGAGAGUAUCCUAGUGGCGAACGGGUGAGUAACGCGUUGGUGACCUGCCCCAAAGUGUGGGAUAACAGUCCGAAAGGAUUGCUAAUACCGCAUGUGGUCAUUAGAUUUAGAAACUGAUGACUAAAGCAGUAAUGCGCUUUGGGAGGGACCUGCGUCCCAUCAGCUAGUUGGUGAGGUAAUGGCUCACCAAGGCGACGACGGGUAGGGGACCUGAGAGGGUGACCCCCCACAAUGGAACUGAAACACGGUCCAUACACCUACGGGUGGCAGCAGUAGGGAAUAUUGCUCAAUGGGCGAAAGCCUGAAGCAGCAACGCCGCGUGCGCGAUGAAGGUCUUCGGAUCGUAAAGCGCUUUUCUGCGAGAUGAGAAAGGACAGUAUCGUAGGAAUAAGUCUCGGCUAACUACGUGCCAGCCGCCGCGGUAAUUC